This 442-nucleotide ribosomal RNA is filed under the name uncultured bacterium. RNAcentral's name for it is "partial 16S ribosomal RNA". It matches the Rfam family "Bacterial small subunit ribosomal RNA", at positions 338 to 795 of the family's 1533-position model. The record is from RNAcentral.
CCUACGGGGUGCAGCAGUAGGGAAUCUUUCACAAUGGGCGAAAGCCUGAUGGAGCAACGCCGCGUGCAGGAUGAAGGCCUUCGGGUUGUAAACCUCUUUUAUAAGCGAGAAAAAUGAGGGUACCUUAUGAAUAAGUAUCGGCUAACUACGUGCCAGCAGCCGCGGUCAUACGUAGGAGCCGAGCAUUAUCCGGAGUGACUGGGUGUAAAGAGUUGCGUAGGUGGCACAAUAAGUAGCUAGGAAAAUCUGCUGGUCCAACCAUUCAAACUAUUGGCUAAACUGUUAAGCUCGAGAGCAAAAGGGGUAACUGGAAUUCCUAGUGUAGGAGUGAAAUCCGUAGAUAUUAGGAAGAACACCGAUAGCGAAGGCAGGUUACUGGGAUGGAACUGACGCUGAGGCACGAAAGCGUAGGGAGCAAACGGGAUUAGAUACCCGAGUAGUC